AGAUGCUGAGGACUUGGAUGAGGACGGGCACCAAAUCUGCAUUGUCCAUUGCUAUUUCCCAGGUUGAGUUGCUGAAGCGGCUUCAUUGUCUGGGGACAUACCCAAGGUUCGUCAUCGCGUGACGAGAAGAUUAAGGACACAGACGCAAACACGGAGCGGGUCAAGUAGCGGAAAGUUUAAUAGGCAGGAAAGAAGAGAACAGCUCACCGGUAGAGAGCCGUCAAUGGUGUGCCAGAUAAGAAGCUAUGCACUGAAAAGAUGGAGAGGAGCGGCGAGAUUCUGCAUCUUAGCUUGCCUAGGUGGGGAGCAGGGUACAAGGGCCCAGAGAACUCACAACCUCUUUUUUGCUUCAGCCCAUCCACUAGAACUAGCUCAGGCUUAAUCUAACUGCAAAGAAGCCCAGGAAAUAUAGAAGAGAAGAUGAAAUAUUUUGCUUAAAAAUGGUUUAAAAUGACUUUUGCCAUUCAACUCGUAUCAGUUCAAGAAGCUCUGGAAUAAGUAACCACUGAAGGUAAGACAUCUUUUAAAUAAUAAAAGCCAAACCAUACUAUUCUUAACACCUCUCAGUUUCUCUAAAGCCAGUAUGACAAUCUUAAAAAAGGGAAAUAAUUACUCCUUUUUAUCCCUUAAAAUUUAAAAUGUAGUUUUUACCAUGUUUUCAGUAAGAUUCUCAUUCUGUACCAGAAAGGCAGUUCCUUAAAGACCCAAGUUUUAAAUAUUUAACUUUUUCUGUCCAUAAAAUAGGUAUUAUGUUUACAUAUUAUCAGUAACACAGAGUAUCUUGGUGUAGAACAUUUAUUUAUUUUUCCCACAAAUCACUGAAAGUUUAGGUCAGUGGGAAAUAAUUUUAAU
This 852-nucleotide long non-coding RNA is filed under the name Homo sapiens (human). Its description in RNAcentral is "non-protein coding lnc-H2AFJ-2:5". The record is from RNAcentral. Lineage: Eukaryota; Metazoa; Chordata; Mammalia; Primates; Hominidae.